Molecule: ribosomal RNA, 251 nt
Filed under: uncultured bacterium
Lineage: Bacteria
Description: partial 16S ribosomal RNA
Rfam family: Bacterial small subunit ribosomal RNA
Source: RNAcentral
UACGUAGGUGGCAAGCGUUGUCCGGAUUUACUGGGCGUAAAGAGCGCGCAGGCGGUCGUUCAAGUCGCGUGUGAAAGCCCCCGGCUCAACUGGGGAGGGUCACGCGAUACUGAUCGACUCGAAGGCAGGAGAGGGUAGUGGAAUUCCCGGUGUAGUGGUGAAAUGCGUAGAGAUCAGCAGGAAUACCCGUGGCGAAGGCGGCCCCCUGGGCCGACCCUGACGCUGAGGCGCGAAGGCUAGGGGAGCGAACG